GAGGAAUAUUGGUCAAUGGACGCAAGUCUGAACCAGCCACGUCGCGUGAAGGAAGACGGCCCUACGGGUUGUAAACUUCUUUUAUACGGGAAUAAAGUGCCCCACGUGUGGGGUUUUGCAUGUACCGUAUGAAUAAGGAUCGGCUAACUCCGUGCCAGCAGCCGCGGUAAUACGGAGGGUGCAAGCGUUAAUCGGAAUCACUGGGCGUAAAGCGCGCGUAGGCGGCUUUUUAAGUCGGACGUGAAAGCCCUCGGCUCAACCGGGGAAUUGCGUUCGAAACUGGGAGGCUUGAGUCCUGGAGAGGGUGGCGGAAUUCCGGGUGUAGGAGUGAAAUCCGUAGAUAUCCGGAGGAACACCGGUGGCGAAGGCGGCCACCUGGACAGGUACUGACGCUGAGGUGCGAAAGCGUGGGGAGCAAACA
RNAcentral lists this ribosomal RNA (421 nucleotides) under uncultured bacterium. RNAcentral's name for it is "bacterial SSU rRNA". It matches the Rfam family "Bacterial small subunit ribosomal RNA", at positions 356 to 774 of the family's 1533-position model. The record is from RNAcentral.